RNAcentral lists this ribosomal RNA (459 nucleotides) under uncultured bacterium. RNAcentral's name for it is "SSU rRNA". It matches the Rfam family "Bacterial small subunit ribosomal RNA", at positions 26 to 518 of the family's 1533-position model. The record is from RNAcentral.
AGAAUCAACGCUGGCGGCGUGCCUAACACAUGCAAGUCGAACGAGAAAGGGGAGCAAUCCCUGAGUACAGUGGCGACCGGGUGAGUAACACGUGACUAACCUACCCUCGAGUGUGGAAUAACAUCGGGAAACCGAUGCUAAUACCGCAUAACAUCGCAAGAUCAAAGGAGUAAUCCGCUUGAGGAGGGGGUCGCGGCUGAUUAGCUAGUUGGCGGGGUAAUGGCCCACCAAGGCGAAGAUCGGUAUCCGGCCUGAGAGGGCGCACGGACACACUGGAACUGAAACACGGUCCAGACUCCUACGGGAGGCAGCAGUGGGGAAUUUUGCGCAAUGGGGAAACCCUGACGCAGCAACGCCGCGUGGAGGAUGAAGCCCCUUGGGGCGUAAACUCCUUUCGACCAAGACGAUAAUGACGGUACUGGUGGAAGAAGCACCGGCUAACUCUGCGCCAGCAGCCGC